RNAcentral lists this long non-coding RNA (749 nucleotides) under Manihot esculenta (cassava). Its description in RNAcentral is "long non-coding RNA (MESC_LNC009279)". Lineage: Eukaryota; Viridiplantae; Streptophyta; Magnoliopsida; Malpighiales; Euphorbiaceae. The record is from RNAcentral.
GAAGAAUGAGAAAAACGAAGAUUUUACAAUCUCUUGCACACCAUGAAACUGCUACCCAAAAAAUAUUACAACCCCAGAAACUGAAUUACAGGACAAAGGAUAAUCUUUAUUCGUUGUAAAACUACAUGGCUACAUACAUUAAGUGUACAUCCACCCAAUAUUCUACAACAACAUAUAACCAUCUGAAGGGUCCUAAGUGUAAGGAUCAUCCCAAAAAGGAAAGGAAUGUAAACACAAUCCAGUUCUCUCAAAAAGAAAAUCAAAAUCACUAGAUAAUAUUCACCCUGCAUCCAAAAUUCUCAAUCCACAAAAAGUCUCAUCGUUUGUUUCACGCCUGCAAGAAAUGAUGGUACAAGUCCAAUUACGACGUUGGGAAAAAAGGACAAUAUUCCAUUAAAAACUCAAACUUACUAAAUAGAGCAAUUCAUUAUCUUUUACCAUUUUCUUAAUCACCAGAGAAUUUUAAACAGAAAUGGAGCAAUGACAAUUGCAUGGAGAAUUGGAAAAUGCAUAUAUUAUAAAACCAGAAAUUCAUUGCAGUUGCCUAACCAUUAACACCGUACAGCAUGAUCAUUACACAAAAUUCUUGACUUGCGGACAUGAAAAUUGGCAGUUCCAAUAGAUUGGUAGCUUAUUAUUACAUACUCAAUGCACAUAAUUUUUGUUGAACAGAAAGUUAUUCAUCUUUACCUUGUUAGCAAUAUUAUUGGAGAGCCAGUCCAAGCCCUCAUAAAGACCCUCACCAGAGG